This 2134-nucleotide long non-coding RNA is filed under the name Cricetulus griseus (Chinese hamster). RNAcentral's name for it is "lncRNA (ENSCGRG00015031756.1)". Lineage: Eukaryota; Metazoa; Chordata; Mammalia; Rodentia; Cricetidae. The record is from RNAcentral.
AAGACAGGGUUUCUCUGUGUAAUGGUCCUGGCUGUCCUGGAACUCACUUUGUAGACCAGGCUGGCUUCAAACUUACUGAGAUCUGCCUGCCUCUGACUCCUAAGUACUGGGAUUAAAGAUACCAUUCAAGAAUCAGCUGCAGACAGCAAACUGUUCCAGACGACUGUGAGCCCUGGGCUUGCUCAAAGCUGAUGUGAACCAGUCCACCUGAUGUGAUUGCUCCCUGUCUCUUCAGUUGGGUCAGCAAACCAGAUGCUUCUGAUGAAUGCUCCAUUCCCAGAAUGCCCCACCACCUGAAUCCCCUCCUGGCCUUUGACUAACUGUCCAGCCUUCCUGGGCCCUGACAAUGACAUCCUAAUGUUAUCAGGAACCAGUUACAGAAGGGAAUAUGUUCCUGCUUGUCCUCAACAAAAGGCUGGAGUGUACUUCAGAAGGAAACUCCCUGGCAUAGGGGACAAAAUGGCUACCUAUAUAAGAGAUAGUUCUAGGACAAGCUCCAAAGUCACAGAGAAACCCUGUCUCAAAAAAAACAAAAACAAAAACAAAACACUACAACAAAACAACAACAAAAAACAAAAAAAGAAACCCAAAUAGACCCAGAUCUAUCAACAAGUAGGUUCAUUACCUGAAAUAGUUCUGUAACAUGAUAGGAGACCCAGUCUGCUCUAUGUAAAAGAAGAGGUUAUCGUAUGGCUUUAAGAAGAAAUUUUUCUUUUCUUUUUCUUUUUUUUUGUUUUUCAAGAAAGGGUUUCUCUAGCUUUGUAGACCAGGCUGGCCUUGAACUCACAGAGAUCCACCUGCCUCUGCCCUCUGAGUGCUGGGAUUAAAGGUGUGUGCCACCACUGCCCAGGGAAAAAUCAUUUCUAUGCAAAUCACUUGGGAAUAAUUAGAGAUAAUCUGGAUGUACUAAAAAAAAAAUGGGACAAGAAAUGAAAUUAAUGACUGGUUCUCAUUCUGAUUUUCAGGCUCCUCUUAGAUGGUGACUCUGAUGUCAGCCAUCACAGGGCCUUUGGCCCUUCUAUUUCUGCUAAUUACUGUUGACCCUUGUAUCAUUAAUGCCUUAACUAGAUACAGAAAUCCCUGUCUGGCUACCAUGAAGCUGAUGAUUGUUAAACAGGUACCCACCAUAGAGACAAGGAUUUGACUCAGGAUAUAACUUGGGGUUGGGAGGGUGUGAUGGCCAAAGUUAUAUGUUAAGUUUAAAUCACUGUGCUAAAAAUAAAUAAAUAAAUAAAUAAAUAAAUAAAUCACUGUGCUUAAGACAUAGGUAAGAUAAAAAUGCCUCUAGCCUGUAAGUCCCACUCAUCGAAGGACAGGUAGAAUGCUGGGGGUUCAUGUAAGAUACCAAGUGUAGUGUUUUCACUUAUGUAAACAAACAUGGGUGCACCAAUUGCACAACAUGUGUGCUUGAUUACAUGUAGGCAGGAGUUACAUAGACAGGAGUACAUCAGGAUGUGUGCUUGUCCCUGAUUGGUCGGAGGUGUGAAGUACAUAGACUUGUGGGGUUUGCCUUUAUAAACCUCUGACUAAUGUAAUUCGGGGCCAUACUCUGGGAAUACCAGGUAUGGACGUGGCCAGUAUCCAUGGUCCUUGCUUUAAAUUUGACUUAAAAUUGUGGUAGUGGUCUUAUUCUCACUCAGUGAGAUGAGCACAUGAUGCUGGAGCAAUAGCUGAGAGCUUACAUCUUGAUCCACAAGCAUGAGGCAGAGAGAGUUAACUGAGAAUGGCAUUGAAAGAUUUUAGUUUGCUGAGAGAAAAAGUUUUGAAAGUUUUGAAAGUUCACAGAGAGAAAAAGUUUCCCACAGGCCUUGGCCCAGGACAAGGAAGUUGGCCCCAACCCGAGGGCAGACAGACAAUCCUUUUUGGGUCACACCUGGCUGGCCAACAGACAAUCAAGGACUUUUCAGGGUACGUUCUAUGGUUUUUCCUUUAUAAAAAAGCAGGUCACACCUGGGUGACCACUCUAACAUGAGAUCAUACUUUGUAAUCAAUCACUUUGCGCCCCUUGCCUGUAUGCUGAUCUGUGGUUUUUUUCCUAUAUAAGAAGCCUGUAACCCUUGCUGGGUUAUGCAGCUUUCCCGAUAUUGCUGACACCCGAAUGUGCAUUCGUUCAAUAAACCCUCUUGAUUUUGCA